CAUAAAAGUGAAGUAAACUCACACAACAUGUUCUGUAGGUCAGUAUCAAGCUGAAUGCUAAUGCUAAAGAUAACAAACUCCACUUAUAUGUGAUCUGCCCUGCUUAACCUCCAAGUUCACUUAUCAACGUGACAGAUUGCCACCAAAAUUUGGAUCAAGUUCCCAGGGCGCAAUCGCUUAUCUACAGUUAUUUGCUGAUUCUCAGAAAGCGGGUGUGACUCCUGACUCCCAUGGGAGAGCUGAGUCAGCGCCACCCCUUUCCUGCUUCCUCAGAUCCAGGAUCAGCCCUUCUAUCGUGCUGCUCAGAGCAAAGGACUAUACAAAUUUGUGUAUAAUUCUCUCAUACGGACCACUGGAUGUUCAACAUGGCACCUCAUGGCAAAGAACUCUCUGAGGAUUUGAGAAUUAGAAUUGCUCUCCACAAAGAUGGCCGAGGCUAUAAGAAGAUCAGUAACAACCUAAAACUGAGUUACAAUUGUAACCCAGCCUGUUAAGCUGGACAGUGGGACAGUGGCCAGGGUCAUACAGAGGUUUUCCAAGACUGGUUUCACUCAGAACAGGCCUCGCAAGGGUCGAUCAAAGAUGUUAGAUCCUUGUGCUGUGCUUCAGGGGCAGAAGCUGGCUUCAAAAAACAGAUGCAUGAGUGCUGCCAGCAUUGCUUUAGAGGUUGCAGAAGUGGAAGGUCAGCUUGUCGGUGCUCAGACCAUACGCCGCUCAGUUUGCAUGGCCAUCAUCCCAGAAGGAAGCCUCUUCUGAAGCUGGCUCACAAAAAGCCUGCAAACAGUUUGCUGAAGACAACCUGGCCAAGAGCAUGAAUUACUGGAACCAUGUCCUGUGGUCUGAUGAGCCUAAGGUAAACUUGUUUGGCUCAGAUGGUGUCCAGCAUGUGUGGCGAUGCCCUGGUGAGGAUAUAUUUAGAGGAUAGUACAUUUGCACUAAUAUACAAGCUGCACAUAGACUACUCUAAAAUAUAUCCAAGUUUCAUUUGCGUAGUAUUGUCCCUUGAGAAGAUAUACUAAAAUUGUUGCUGAAAUGUGAGGGGUGUACUCACUUUUGUGAGAUACUAUAUUUGUGGUUUACAGGGACACAAAUUUGUGUAAUGACAUGGGUAUGACAGAGAUAUUACAAUUUGAAGGUGGUUUAUGAGGACACUGCCUGUGUCCCCGAAAUUCAAAAGGCUUAAAAAACAUACUAAAUGGUGUUUUUUUUGAAAAUCUAAAAAUGCAGAAAGUUUCCUGUAAGGGGUAGGUUUAGGUGUAGGGUUGGUGUAGGGCAAUAGAAAAUACAGAUUGUAUGGUAUAAAAACCAUUACGCCUAUGGAGAGUCCCCGUAAACCACAAAUACCAACAUGUGUGUGUGUGUGUGUUUUAUUUAAUUUAAUUAACAAUGGCUUUCUAUCAAAAUUCCACAAACUCCCUGCAGUUCCAUCACAAACCUCGGUUACACUUUAUUUUGAUGGUCCCUUUAACACAUUCUGUUGACUAUAAGUAACAAUGCACUACAUUUCUACUAACUCUCAUUAGAGUGUUAGUAGAGUAUUAGUAGAUUGGUAGGGUUAGGGUUAGAAUAAGUUGACAUGUACUUGCAAAGUUACUUAUAGUCAGUAGAAUAUCUGUUGGGAGACCAAGAGUUGUGCAGAUAUGAAGCAGACAGUCUACUAAUAUUCUAAUGAGAGUUUGUUGACAUGUAGUUGCAACAUUACUUAGUGUCAACAGAAUGUUCAAAAGGGACCAUCAAAAUAAAGUGUUACCCAAACCUCUAGGGGUUCACAAUCACAAACCUUCAGCUGGGAAUCCCCUGAUCUAUAUUUUCCCAAGAGGGCUGUCUUUGCAAUUAUGAGUUACUUUCAAUAAAAAAAUUAAAAAAAAAAAAAAAUUCCGUUUUAAACUGAUUUGAAUAGUUUGCACAUGCUUUGAAAAAACAUACGUAAACUAGGAUGAUGGGCUCACUUUGAAGUUUGUGAACAGUGUUAUAGCCUACCUCCUGUGCGUGGUUGUAUCUCAGUGCAUAGGCAGUACAGCACAGGUCAAGGUUAGCUGAAAAGCUGAUAUUUCCUCUUUCUCAAAGUGUUGUUGCUCGACUGACUGUAAACAGAACAUUCCGAUCUCAUGGGAGGAGUGUGUCUGCGGCCCAGAGACACUCCUGCACAGCACACAGGCAAUCGCAAAACAUGUCUGUGUGCAUUUCUGCAGCUCGUGCUGAGCCCUCCAGCUGUUUUGAUCAUUUCACACAUGAAUUCUGACAUACUGUGUCAAUGGAUGGGAAAUAACACUGGCCUGUAAUGAUGCAAUAAUGAGCUUCUGUGCAACAGUUAAAGUUUGUCUAGUUGUUUACAACAUUUUGUACGUUUUUUGAGACUUUUUGGAACUUUAGUAGGUUUCAUGUAACAAGAACGUUAGGAUACAAUGUCUUCUGUCAGCAUACAGUGUUUAAAAAAUAAAAUAAAAACCCCAACAACAACACUAACUGUGCUGAUCUGGACAAAUCCCAUUUCCCUAUAUUUCAUCAGUUUCUCUGCCUUUGUUUCAGUUCUCUGUUCCCGAAUUUGUUGAGACAGCUAUUUAUAUUUAACAUCGUGUAAUGUGACCUUCAC
Onychostoma macrolepis is the source of this 2593-nucleotide long non-coding RNA. RefSeq lists it as uncharacterized. The record is from RefSeq and is a predicted model, not a curated record. The transcript has 3 exons. NCBI's taxonomy places the organism in Eukaryota, Metazoa, Chordata, Actinopteri, Cypriniformes, Cyprinidae.